This 253-nucleotide ribosomal RNA is filed under the name uncultured bacterium. Its description in RNAcentral is "partial 16S ribosomal RNA". It matches the Rfam family "Bacterial small subunit ribosomal RNA", at positions 524 to 776 of the family's 1533-position model. The record is from RNAcentral.
UACGUAGGCAGCGAGCGUUGUUCGGAGUUACUGGUCGUAAAGAGUGCGUAGGCGGUUUUCUAAGUUUGGUGUGAAAUCUCCCGGCUCAACUGGGAGGGUGCGCCGAAAACUGGAGAGCUUGAGUAUGGGAGAGGAAAGCGGAAUUCCUGGUGUAGCGGUGAAAUGCGUAGAUAUCAGGAGGAACACCUGUGGUGUAGACGGCUUUCUGGACCAUCACUGACGCUGAGACACGAAAGCGUGGGGAGCAAACAGG